GCCUGGCUGGCCUAGUUGGUGGAGCACGUGACUCUUGAUCUCGGGGUUGUGAGUUUAAGCCCCAUGUUGGGUG
RNAcentral lists this transfer RNA (73 nucleotides) under Felis catus (domestic cat). It matches the Rfam family "tRNA". From Rfam's summary of the family: Transfer RNA (tRNA) molecules are approximately 80 nucleotides in length. Their secondary structure includes four short double-helical elements and three loops (D, anti-codon, and T loops). RNAcentral also lists the same sequence under 1 other name. Lineage: Eukaryota; Metazoa; Chordata; Mammalia; Carnivora; Felidae. The record is from Rfam by way of RNAcentral.